AAGUUGAUGUAUCCUCAAUGGAAGUGUUAUCAUGCGAUUGGCAUUGCAAGAAACACAACCGUGGCCCUGCGAAAAUCAAACCAAACCACAUAACAGUCAAUACCAAAAAACCAAAAAUCAAAAGGAGAUUCAACUCAAGCCAUUGGAAGUAAGGGAAGAAGGGGCGUCAAGCAUAGGGUUGAUAACUUCUGAAAUGAUCAGGUAUGUGGAGGGAAAGGACCCUGAGUUACAAGCAUCUCGAUAAGUUGGACUACUCGAUUUCAUUUCCUCUGCCUUGCUUGCUUCUUACACAUCCAAACCGACAGCAUAUCUGGUUACGUUGCACCUGUUAGAACUUCUGAAGGUCGUACUGUCUAUACCUGCAGAUAGGAUUUAUUUUGUUGCACUGAAUCUUCCGCCUCCAAUCAUCCUGUUGCUUUCAUCGGCUCUUGAGAACUACAUAGAAGGUUGUAGCGACUCUAAGUACUCCUGGCGACCUUAGAAGUAAGACAACUUCAGAUGCGUGAUGGUUCGUACGAGUCAUUGAUUUCCUAUCAAGUGAUUCACUGGUUGAGAGAUCUUUUUGCAUUUCGUGAUAGGCCUCAGGUGAAAGGCCGAUGGAAAGCUUCUGAUGAUCAGAUUUGUUUUGCUCAUGCUUGAAUCAUUAUCCCUUCUUGGUCACUUUGCCCUGCUUCGUCCUGGAAAUCAAGUUGUUCUUCGAUGGGGAAAGAGUUCCACACUCACCACCCUCCACAAGAU
This 738-nucleotide long non-coding RNA is filed under the name Lathyrus oleraceus (garden pea). Its description in RNAcentral is "Pisum sativum (pea) long non-coding RNA (PSAT_LNC038143)". The record is from RNAcentral. Lineage: Eukaryota; Viridiplantae; Streptophyta; Magnoliopsida; Fabales; Fabaceae.